RNAcentral lists this transfer RNA (74 nucleotides) under Candidatus Yanofskybacteria bacterium RIFCSPHIGHO2_01_FULL_41_21. RNAcentral describes it as "tRNA-Trp". It matches the Rfam family "tRNA". From Rfam's summary of the family: Transfer RNA (tRNA) molecules are approximately 80 nucleotides in length. Their secondary structure includes four short double-helical elements and three loops (D, anti-codon, and T loops). The record is from RNAcentral. Lineage: Bacteria; Candidatus Yanofskyibacteriota.
GGGGAUGUCGUUCAAUGGUAGGACUCUGGUCUCCAAAACCAGGUAUCCAGGUCCGAAUCCUGGCGUCCCCGCCU